GGGCCCGUAGCUCAGUGGUAGAGCAGUCGGCUCAUAACCGACUGGCCGCAGGAUCGAUCCCUGCCGGGCCCACCA
Molecule: transfer RNA, 75 nt
Filed under: Chloroflexota bacterium
Lineage: Bacteria; Bacillati; Chloroflexota
Also listed under: 1 other name
Description: Chloroflexi bacterium (marine sediment metagenome) tRNA-Ile
Rfam family: tRNA
About the family: Transfer RNA (tRNA) molecules are approximately 80 nucleotides in length.
Source: RNAcentral